GGGGUAAACCUGCGAAACUCGAAUGAACGAACGGAGAGAUUCAUCGUCAUUCCGCGGCGUACGGGUGCGCGUUUCGAUGUCUUCGACCUCGGUCGUGGGCACGUCGCGUACACGUCGACGUCCGUGGACGGCGUGCACUUCUCUCUCAGUAACACAUGCAUCGCGACCCGUUCGAUGUCGGUCUAAGCGCCGUCCGGGAGCCCCGCUGUCCCUUCACGGGGGCGACGGGACCGCUGAUGGACGCCGACCGGCCGUCGGACGGUAUAAUAUAUGACACGCGCACGCGUUUAACGCGUCCGGCCCGACGCAAGUCAACGUCGUAUCCGACGUUCCGCCCGAGUGCGGACGUAGGUGCGGCGCGUCUGUUGUCGCCGCCGUGCAGUCUCGGACUGUGCGCGUCUCCGUCUGCGAUGAUUCAGUUUCGGGCACUCGCAGGACCCGUCUUGAAACACGGACCAAGGAGUCUAGCAUGUAUGCGAGUCAUUGAGAUUAUUUCAUUAAACUGAAAGGCGUAACGAAAGUGAAGGCGCGCGCUUGUCGCGUGCUCAGGGAGGAUGGAGCGUCGAUCUAGGUCGAUCUCUCGCACUCCCGAGGCGUCUCGUUUCCAAUCUGUGAAUGUAGGCGCGCUC
This 629-nucleotide ribosomal RNA is filed under the name Epodonta lineata. Its description in RNAcentral is "eukaryotic LSU rRNA". It matches the Rfam family "Eukaryotic large subunit ribosomal RNA", at positions 412 to 796 of the family's 3401-position model. Lineage: Eukaryota; Metazoa; Arthropoda; Insecta; Lepidoptera; Notodontidae. RNAcentral also lists the same sequence under 1 other name. The record is from RNAcentral.